Molecule: long non-coding RNA, 356 nt
Organism: Ricinus communis (castor bean)
Lineage: Eukaryota; Viridiplantae; Streptophyta; Magnoliopsida; Malpighiales; Euphorbiaceae
Exons: 2
Source: RefSeq, a predicted model, not a curated record
UGGGCAUCGACCGUCCACGUGUCAUGAUAUUACGUCAUACUUAUCCUUCCGAAUCGACCGGUCCAAAGCUUUUUACCUGCUUUCUUCCACGUAUACGUCGCUUUCAGAGCCAACAGAGGGGCAGUUCCGGUAUUUUCUAGAGUGGACCCGUCAUCACCAUGGAUUAAAAGAGGUGAUGGGCCCGGUGUGGGGCCAUUUGGCAAUGGAAGGAGUGUAUCGUGUCGAUCAACAUGUGAUUUCCUUUCGCUCAAAGGAGAUUCCCUAUACUACAGUUUGUAGAGUGUGUGGGGCAUGCUUUAUUGAUAUUUAUGAUUAGUGUUUCUUCCUUUUUCUUUAAGGCAAAAGCUACAAUUAAA